RNAcentral lists this ribosomal RNA (257 nucleotides) under Acinetobacter baumannii. RNAcentral's name for it is "partial 23S ribosomal RNA". It matches the Rfam family "Bacterial large subunit ribosomal RNA", at positions 1979 to 2235 of the family's 2925-position model. Lineage: Bacteria; Pseudomonadati; Pseudomonadota; Gammaproteobacteria; Moraxellales; Moraxellaceae. The record is from RNAcentral.
AGUUCCGACCUGCACGAAUGGCGUAACGACUUCCCCGCUGUCUCCAGCAUAGACUCAGUGAAAUUGAAUUCCCCGUGAAGAUGCGGGGUUCCUGCGGUCAGACGGAAAGACCCCGUGCACCUUUACUGUAGCUUUGCGCUGGCAUUCGUGUCGGCAUGUGUAGGAUAGGUGGUAGGCUUUGAAGCAUGGGCGCCAGCCUGUGUGGAGCCAUCCUUGAAAUACCACCCUUGUAGAUAUGGUUGUCUAACCGCGGCCCA